Molecule: ribosomal RNA, 90 nt
Filed under: uncultured bacterium
Lineage: Bacteria
Description: partial 16S ribosomal RNA
Source: RNAcentral
UCGGGAACACCCGAAGUCCGUAGCCUAACCGGCAAGGGGGGCGCGGCCGAAGGUGGUUCGAUAAUUGGGGUGAAGUCGUAACAAGGUAUC